GCAAGAUGCGGGCGACUUGACUUCAGACACCGAGAAAGGCUGGCGGCCCAGGUCUUGUGGCCACAUCUGUCCAAGCUCCUACUCUGAUUGAACAGUUGGAUGAUCAGACUGAUGAUGAAAAGUGCUACACAGUUCUCACAUAUCUUCUGCCUCCGAAGCAGCUGCAGUGUAAAAUCUGAGAUGUCUUUUCUGGCUGAUUUUGUGCAGAUUUCUGACAGCGAUGGUGAGGGAAGCAGUGUACCGAAUUCUCAGAUGACUCGGACCAGGUGACCAAACCCAUGCAAAACACAAUGACUGUGCUGAGGCGUUCCGCCCCCCUCCCCCUCCACACCACUCAAGGCACGGCGGCGGCCCAACCGCAAACUAACGGAGAUUAACAAGAGGCUGGAUGCUGCGUCCAUCACCAGAGGGGCCGGGAUUGCUGCGGCAGCUAGCCAAUUAAAGGAGGAUGAAGGAGAGGAGGAUGAAGGAGAGGAGUCUGACGAUGCAGACAUCGCCAUCGUAUGCAGGCCACGCCCUCGCAGGAAAACCAGCCAAUGAAAACGCUCGCAGCAGCAUCAGCAGAACACACCGGCACGACUGACAGAGCUUCUGAAGCAUGCAGUGGAAGAGCUGUCAGUCAAGCUAAAGGUCCCGCCCUCCAACCUGCUGCUGCUGCACGGAGAGGCGGAACUUAACACCUCACACACUAUUGGCCAGCUAGGACUCUGCAUCGCUGCCAUCAUUGUCUGGAACCAACUUCACAUCCCUCUUCACUGCACUACUGACACUGAGAUGGAAUCCACAACCCAACCACUAGUGGUCUGCAUUGGGAACCUGAAGAGUCUGUCAUCAUCGCCAGGAAUGACCGCGUGACCAUUCCCGUUGCAGACAGCCUGACUUGCACAAUUGACAAGCUGUUCAAGCUUAACUGGGUCUGCAACUUGUCAUAUCCAACACAGCUCAGCUCUGUUUUCACCUUCUUUGAAUAUGUUUAUGACGUUCCCAUCUCAACCAACACACGACCAAAGGUACUAGAAUUUCUCUCAAAGCUUCCCAGCAACCCAGUGAUCUCUCAACAUGUGUUUAUGCCCAAAAUGUAAAUAGUUACUACAGACAUCAAGAAAGUAGUGUGGCAUCUUUGUCAAGUACACGCUUUGUCAGAUGCACAGGGUAUGACGAUAAUAGGCAGCCAAGAUGGCUGUUCAAGUGCACAAGGACUUACUACGUAGACACCACCAGUCCACAACAACAGAAAUGGGUGUAUCUUUCAAUGACUCUUUUGAAUCCACUGACAUUCAGACAGCCUAUGCAGCUUCAAGUAACAUCUGAAGAAAGAACAUUUUGUGUUCCUUCUCAAGGACAGAUUCUCCAUAAUUUACCACUUAAUGACAAUUUAUCUGUGUUCAUGCUUGUUAGGAUUAUUACAGGGAAUUAUUUUGAUUAUCAUUUUGGCAACACUUUAUUUUAGCAUUACAUCUAUUAGCUCUAAUACAUACAGUGUUAAUGCCUGUAUGCUGUAAGUAACUUGUAAGGCAUGCACUAAGCAAAAUCAAAUAUAUGUUAGGCAUGUAUUCGCAAAUUCCUUGUUCAUGCACAAUUAGGGAUUUAUUACCUAAUAUAACCUCAAUAAGGACCUAACAAAUGUUUGAUUUCGCUUAGUACAUGCCUUACAAGUUACUUAUACAGGCAUUAACCCAUUGAUGCUGGAUGUUGCAUUGGCCCUGGCCCACAUUUUCUCACUUGUAGGUAUUUGUUGCGCCGUGAAUUGCCGCGCCGCGAUAAAUUGCUACUCAAAAAAAAAAAUCAAGGUUGGCAGGUAUUAGUGCUAAGCGAUGUAAUGUUAAAAUUAAGUGUUACCAUCAUAUUUAAAAAAAUAUAUAUAUAUAUGUUGUAAAACUGGACGAUUGUGAAAUGAUAUGAUGUGGCAGAUGUAAGACCCAUUGAUGUAAUGCAGAGUUUUCAUUCAGAUGAACUGUCUCUUAACCCAAGGUACAAUGUCUUUUCUUUCAAUAUGUUGGAACCUUUUCAUAAGAAUGUUAUUUUCAAGAAUAUUUAACACUACUUCGAAUUUCAAGACUUUCUGGUUUUGUUAUACACCGGUAAUGUUGUUAAGAGAUGAUAGUGUACGAGUCAUAAUCAAUACUUCAUGAAAUUGGCAGUGGUGUUAAUUAUUCUUGAAAAAGAUAACAUUUGUUAUCUCCCCCUCUUCUGAAAAGCCUAAUAAAAAAGAAUAUGACAGUAAAGUUAAUGUAAUACUUUUUUUUUUAAUUGAGUGUAAUCACAACUACAAAAAAAAAACGUUGUAGAGGUCUUUUAACAGUGCAAGAAAACACACGCUAAAUAUAUUUAGUCAAGACUUUUGAAGAUUGAACCUUGUAAACAAAAGUGUUUGCUAGAUAAAAGUAAACCUCCCCUGUCACUUUCCAUGUGAUAAAUGUCAGUAUAUAUUUGAAAACUAGAAGUUUCAAAGUUUUUAAUGCUGUCACUUUUAUGUUUGAAUGACAACUCACAGAGUUACAGAUGUUUUUGUAGAAGUGUCAAAUGGGGUCACCGGUGACCCCGUAGACCUCAGAGUGUUAAUGAAAGACUGUGUAUGAGUCAUAAUGAAUUGGCCUACUUGCUGAAAUACUGAAUAAACAGAAUUUAUUGUAAAUCUA
Molecule: long non-coding RNA, 2639 nt
Organism: Engraulis encrasicolus (European anchovy)
Lineage: Eukaryota; Metazoa; Chordata; Actinopteri; Clupeiformes; Engraulidae
Exons: 8
Source: RefSeq, a predicted model, not a curated record